RNAcentral lists this unclassified non-coding RNA (301 nucleotides) under Glomus sp. RNAcentral's name for it is "partial contains 5.8S ribosomal RNA, internal transcribed spacer 2, and large subunit ribosomal RNA". The stretch from base 1 to 71 matches the Rfam family "5.8S ribosomal RNA", at positions 84 to 154 of the family's 154-position model. Lineage: Eukaryota; Fungi; Glomeromycota; Glomeromycetes; Glomerales; Glomeraceae. The record is from RNAcentral.
GUGAAUCAUCGAAUCUUUGAACGCAAAUUGCACUUUCUGGUAUUCCGGAAAGUAUGCCUGUUUGAGGGUCAGCUAAAUAAAAUUCGGUGUUCUUGCUGCUUUCCGUAGUGACGAGUCGGAAUUGAGUUGUCUUACCUUCGGUUAAGAGACUUAAAUUUUUGCAUGAUUUUCGAACAUAUUUAAAUCGCUUACGUACGUUUGAGAUACCGAAUGCUUAUUAGGUUCGGUCAUUCUCAUGAUUCGCGCCUAUACUUUUUCAUUAAAUGACUUCAAAUCAGGUAAGCAUACCAGUUGAACUUAA